This is an RNA transcript of Rhineura floridana, 4712 nucleotides long. It is a transcript of the gene named SFT2 domain containing 2, with no coding region annotated. The record is from RefSeq and is a predicted model, not a curated record. NCBI's taxonomy places the organism in Eukaryota, Metazoa, Chordata, Lepidosauria, Squamata, Rhineuridae. The transcript is spliced from 10 exons.
GAGUAGUGCAACACGCAGGUGCGGGAAGUAUACCUAACUACAUUUCCCAAUGUGCCUUGCACCAGAGGGCUCGGGUUGGUCGCUCCGAUGGGCAUGAGGAAAGCUUCACGAGCCUCCGGCUUCUUUGCAUGUUGGGAGUUGUAGUCUUCGGAGGCGGGUUGCUUGGCUUGUGAAGCAGAGACGGCAUCACUGUAGGUGGAACUCCGAAGGCAACAAGUGUCUGGGCCGCGCGGAAUGGACAAGCUGAAGCGGGUUCUAAGCGGGAAGGACGCCGAAGAGCCGGGGGUCCUGGCCGAGGUGGCUGAUGCAUCUUCCUUAAGCUGGAGUACGAGAGUGAAAGGCUUUAUAGCUUGUUUUGCUAUAGGAGUUCUGUGCUCUAUUCUGGGUACUUGCCUGCUAUGGCUUCCCAGGAGGGGGACAGUCUUGUUUGCAGUAUUUUACACUUUGGGGAAUAUCUCAUCCCUUGGAAGCACCAUCUUUCUUAUGGGACCUAUGAGGCAAUUGAAGAGAAUGUUUGAACCCACGCGUUUGAUAGCUACUAUUGUUAUGCUUUUGUGUCUCAUAUUAACUCUUUGUUCGGCUUUUUGGUGGCACAAUAAGGGACUUGCUCUCAUCUUCUGCGUUUUGCAGUUCUUUGCCUUGGCAUGGUACAGCAUUUCCUAUAUACCAUUUGCAAGGGAUGCUGUGAAGAAAUGUUUCACUGCGUGUCUCACAUAACACAAAAGCAAACAGUUUACACCCUCAAAAUCUGCUCCAGAGCAUUGGAGGACCUCACUACCAAUUGUUAUAGGUAGCAAGGACUAAAAGCUUUCUGGCCAGCACAAUAAGUGUCAUCUCCUUACACUGAAAUGUCACACUGAGGACUAGAAGACCUGCACAAUUGUAUGGCAUUUGUCUCUGCACACACCUUCCUGGGAGCAAAGCUAUUAAGCUUGCUAGCUUAACAUGUGAACAACAGGACAAAGCUACCAAGUAUUCUCCUAAGGUUAAUGAGUUUUGUGAUAAAAAGCCCCAAGAGCAACAAAGCAUUCCUUUCACUUGCUUACCUAAGCUAUUGUGUGCGUCUGGCACAAAAUUGUUUCUUUCAGAUUUUGUUGUUGUUGAAAUGGAUAUUAUGGUCAUCCCAAGGUAAAUGGGAUUUGAAAUUACUGCUCCUGUUCACACUUUAUUUAUAGGGUCCAAACAACAGUUUACACAUUGGAUACUGUGGCCUUGUAGCCAGGAACAUGAUGGAUGUCCGUAUGGAUAACCAUGUAGUUCUUUUUGUCUUAUUGUCAAGAACUUAGUUUUCAGCUCCCAAUGUCCUUUUUUGUCUCCUACAAUAAUGGAAGGGGGCUUAGUGUGGAGCUGCCUUCUAAUCCAACAGCAAGCAUAAUUCCUUAUUGUAAUAUAACUGAGACAUUAAUAGUGAGUCGUUGUCCAGCCAGCAAUAGAAGCAUCAAUGUGCGGAUACAAGUGGGAAUCAUAAAAGCAAGCAAGUGCCCUUCAAUUUCUGCAAGCAGUUUACUGUUUAUUGCAUACCUUUUAUGGUCUUUUAAGACCUGAAUAUGAAAUAACACAUUGCCUCAUGAAUUGUUUGUCAUUUUGGCAGCUUCUGUUUCACUAGAUUCCCAUUCACAUUCCUCUUGAUACAUAUGACUUCAUACAGCUCUCCAACUAUGAAGAGGAGGAAUAUCUUGUGUUUUUUAAAACUCUUUCCCCCUGCUUUGAUUUCUGUUCACAUUGGCUGCCUAGCUGUGAUUGCUAGGAAUUGGAGGGACUUGUGUUGUGUUUCAUGUUCUGGCUUCCCAGUAAGACAGUAUCAUGUAAUGGUUGGAGCAGACAUUUAGACACUGGAAAAUCGUUGCUGCAUUCCUUUUUCUCUGAUUCAUAUGUCAUAUGAACUUUUCUCCAUGUAACAAGGAAUGAAGGAUGUUGUCCCCCCUCCCCCAAGAAAUACUGUACAGUUAUUUGAGAGUAACUAAUCCUUGUUUUUAUGCUAUCCUAAUGUUUGUCUUAGAAUCUAUUAUUGGAGCACUUUGGGAAACCUCUAAGCUGCAGAUAUGAAAAGAAAAGGGGCUGUUAGUCAAAUUCCUUGCUAGAGUUACUUUUAGGACUGAUUGUCUUCAGGUAUUUUACCUCCCACUCUGCUCUCUCACAUCAUUGGGAAGAGAAUAACACUGUAUCUGAACACAGAAAUUUCCCAGAACGACUGUAGAGUACCAGAAUUAAACUUAAUCUUGUACAGAUCUGGCUCUAACAUUUGGAUCUGCAUAAUUGGCUAACUAUAGCUUUUUUCAUUGGAAAUGAUUGCCUGUUUAUAACCUGGGGUUUCUAGAAUCUUAGUUGUACUGUACAGCUUUGCCAAGCAAGCACAUUGAGAGAUUUAGAAAAUUAGACAUUCAUGAGGAUUUUUUAAAAGGACAAAUUCAAGUAUUGCAGCUCUGAUGUCAAUAAGCUAUACAAAUUGAAGUCUGUGAAAUUUCUUGUUUGUAGUUCUCAGCCACUUUACAAUAAGUAGCUGGAAAAUUGCAGCCUUAACUUACAAAUCAUAUAUGCACUGAAUAUAAAUGAAUGUCAGUCAAGAUGGUUACUAUAAACACUACCUUAGGGUUGCCAGUCAGACCUAAGAGACUAUCGUAGCACAGACUGCUGAUUUUCAUCUGUUCAUUUAGUUCAUAGUUUAUUUAUAUACCACUUUUUGGCCAAAAGGCCCCCAAAGUGGUGAACAACAUAUUAAAACAUAUUACAAAAAAAAAAAAUUACAUAAGAAAUAACCAGUAAAAAAAUACAGUAAAAUUACAAUGCAACAAGAACAAAGUAAAAAAAAAAAUUGCAACAAAAACAAUGUGUUCUUUGUUUUCAAAUGAUGCACACAAUUACCACAGCAGACAUGGAUUUAGGAGAGACAUUCCUUCUUUCUCGGAAACUUAUAAUGUCAUCGGCCAAGUUGUUCCUCUCCACCUCCACACGGUCUUUGUUGUUAGUGAGCUGGUCUACCUGCCCAGGCUGCAGGGAGGAUGUCCGACUCCCCAGGUGGCAUGUUUGCAAGAGGGUCCCUUGCCUCACUGUGCUUUUGCUGGCAGCUGCUAUUGCUUUCCAUUCCAGCAGCUGGAGAGCCCCAAAAGGUCUUCCUUGGGCCCUUUGAGUUCGCUCGAGAGCCGGAAGUGUAUGCAUGCCUCUCCUUCUUGCUCGAUACGGUGAUCCUUCCCUCUUGAAGGUCUUUCCCAUCACACCUCUGCAGUAAUGGAAGACAGAUUUUUUAAAAAAACAUCUUUCAGAGUCUGGGCCUAGUAGCUCUAUUUAUAUUGCAGAAGUACUUUCACAGGUGAAUCACAGUUGUGAAGUAGGGAGGGACAACUCUGUCCUUCAUAUAGUUUUCUCAGAGUUUGAGGUUCUGGUUUUUAUGAAAAGUGGAGUCCUAAUCCUCUUAGUUUCUUUAAAAUACCAGCUCUGAUCACCUUAUCAGCUUGCCUUUUUAGGCUGGAGACAGAUAAUUGUUUUUUCAAAAGUUUAAGGCAAUGUGCACAUCCCAAGCUGCAAUCUCUCUUCACGUUCAUCCCGUAUUAACCUCUGGUAAAAUCGGGUUUUUGUAUUGUUUAACAAUCUCAACACUUGUUUGACUAGAGGCAAUGGGUAUUUCAACCCUGCAGGGCAUCAAAUGGUAAUGAAAGUCUUUUUUGGAUUUUAAGUGCCAUGCUCAGUGUACUGCUAGAACUCAUAUAGGUCUUAAAAGAACUUUAGCAGUAGGUUCACUUUACAGAGAGAAAGCUCUUUUCACAAAUCCAAUGAUUAGGUUUAGAUAAUUAGUGUACUUGUUUUCAGAAUGUAAAGCUGUGGGAACAGUAGUUUAUACAUUUAGCACAUAAGGACAAAGAAGCCCACAGUGCUGCAUCUGUUCUAAAACAGUUACUCUUAAAAUAUUGCAAUAUUUAAUUAUGAAGCAAAUUUCACAUAUUCAUGCUGACACUUUCUAGUAGUAAUUCUUCUACCUAAAAUCUGUCUUUGAGUAAUUUUCAAAUUUUGAUGCUGCUGCCAUUUAAGUUAAAAGAUCUGGAUUUUUCUUCAAAUUAUUGUGUCUUAAAAUCAUGACUUAGGGAAUUUUUUUCAGUUAUGACACUGAUUCUUUUCUGGGAAAUAUAGACAUGUGCUAAAUGUGCAUUAAGGGAGUAAGACACAUCUGUCACCAUUUUGAUACACUUGUAUUUCUGGGGACUUCUAAAUUGUACGCUGAAUUUUAAAUUUCUGCUAUAGGUUAUUCUUGCAUAGAGCAUUAUUACCUAAAUGGAUUGGUUCACCUGUUUUCCUGAUUCUUCUUGCUCUAUAUUUAUACUGUCACAUUUUCAAAACAUUAAUCUCAGUAGUUUGUUAUUGCAUUCUUGUUACCGCAUUCAACCCAAUCUUGGCCUUCACUACAAAUUUGUAAGUAUCGUAACUUCAGGCUUUUCAGCCACUAAAUAUAAGGUGGCCUUUCUGAGAUGUCCUCCUUUUUGGAAAACAAAAUGUGUCUACCUACACAAUGUAUCAUAAUCACUUUAAUGGAGACUUUUGUAAUUUUUUUAAAUUUUUUUAGCUUGAAUGGAUGUUCCAUUUUUUUACACUUUUUUUUACACUUGUCUGCUAUUGUAAAUUUUUGGAUAUGCUGGUUAUUUUGUCUGCCUUAAGAAAAAAAUACUAUUUUGGAUAAACUUUUAUUGUACUGUCUCUUCUGUAAUAAAGCUGGCUUCUCAACA